Molecule: ribosomal RNA, 460 nt
Filed under: uncultured bacterium
Lineage: Bacteria
Description: partial 16S ribosomal RNA
Rfam family: Bacterial small subunit ribosomal RNA
Source: RNAcentral
CCUACGGGAGGCAGCAGUGAGGAAUAUUGGUCAAUGGGCGAGAGCCUGAACCAGCCAAGUAGCGUGAAGGAUGACUGCCCUACGGGUUGUAAACCUCUUUUAUAAAGGAAUAAAGUGAGGCACGUGUGCCUUUUUGUAUGUACUUUAUGAAUAAGGAUCGGCUAACUCCGUGCCAGCAGCCGCGGUAAUACGGAGGAUACGAGCGUUAUCCGGAUUUAUUGGGGUUAAAGGGAGCGUAGAUGGGUUGUUAAGUCAGUUGUGAAAGUUUGCGGCUCAACCGUAAAAUUGCAAUUGAUACUGGAAGCCUUGAGUACAGUUGAGGUAGGCGGAAUUCGUGGUGUAGCGGUGAAAUGCUUAGAUAUCACGAAGAACUCCGAUUGCGAAGGCAGCUUACUAAACUGCCACUGACAUUGAUGCUCGAAAGUGUGGGUAUCAAACAGGAUUAGAUACCCCAGUAGUC